RNAcentral lists this ribosomal RNA (16 nucleotides) under Aspergillus ustus. RNAcentral's name for it is "partial 5.8S ribosomal RNA". Lineage: Eukaryota; Fungi; Ascomycota; Eurotiomycetes; Eurotiales; Aspergillaceae. The record is from RNAcentral.
ACUUUCAACAAUGGAU